CUUCUCAAAUGCAUUUUUUAUGGAUUCCAGUGAGUGGCCAGUGACUAUUGCCCUGUUCCUCCUUUUUCUCAGUCUUCUCUAUUGAAUGUGGCAUCAAACAUCCCAAACCUUUGCCCUUUUUGGGGAACAUUUUUCUAUUUCGUGAGGGUUUCUUUAAUGCUUUGACGGAUCUCAUAAAAACACAUGGACGAGUUUGUGGGUAUUACCUGGGACGCAGACCGGUGGUGGUGAUCGCUGACCCUGAUAUGCUUAAAGAGGUGUUGGUCCGAGACUUCAGCAAUUUCCCCAACAGAAAUACUUUUCGAAUCGCCAUCAAGCCCAUGAGAGACUCUCUGCUGUUGUUAAGGAAUGAACAGUGGAAAAGAGUCCGGAGCAUCCUUACACCUUCUUUUAGUGCUGCUAAAA
Molecule: long non-coding RNA, 405 nt
Organism: Boleophthalmus pectinirostris (great blue-spotted mudskipper)
Lineage: Eukaryota; Metazoa; Chordata; Actinopteri; Gobiiformes; Gobiidae
Exons: 5
Source: RefSeq, a predicted model, not a curated record